CCUACGGGGGGCAGCAGUAGGGAAUAUUGCUCAAUGGGGGAAACCCUGAAGCAGCAACGCCGCGUGGAGGAUGACACUUUUCGGAGCGUAAACUCCUUUUGUUAGGGAAGAACAAUGACGGUACCUAACGAAUAAGCACCGGCUAACUCCGUGCCAGCAGCCGCGGUAAUACGGAGGGUGCAAGCGUUACUCGGAAUCACUGGGCGUAAAGGACGCGUAGGCGGAUUAUCAAGUCUCUUGUGAAAUCCUAUGGCUUAACCAUAGAACUGCUUGGGAAACUGAUAAUCUAGAGUGAGGGAGAGGCAGAUGGAAUUGGUGGUGUAGGGGUAAAAUCCGUAGAGAUCACCAGGAAUACCCAUUGCGAAGGCGAUCUGCUGGAACUCAACUGACGCUAAUGCGUGAAAGCGUGGGGAGCAAACAGGAUUAGAUACCCGGGUAGUC
This 441-nucleotide ribosomal RNA is filed under the name uncultured Campylobacter sp. RNAcentral describes it as "bacterial SSU rRNA". It matches the Rfam family "Bacterial small subunit ribosomal RNA", at positions 338 to 795 of the family's 1533-position model. Lineage: Bacteria; Pseudomonadati; Campylobacterota; Epsilonproteobacteria; Campylobacterales; Campylobacteraceae. The record is from RNAcentral.